CAUGAUUUAACCUAAUAAUUGGCCAGAGGAUAUAUAAUUAUCCAAUCCCAAGCUUGGUUUGCUCUUAUACUCGCUAUCGAACAUAUUUCAAGUCCAAUAAUCCUUUUGUGAUCUCUACAAGCAAAAACAGUCAGCUACAACUUUAAUGAUAUUUUUCUUCUUUCAUCGCUUGAUUCAUAAUCAGCUACAAAUACCAUGGAGCUUUAGCAUAAAUUAUGUUUAAAAGAACAAAACAUUUAGCCUCAACAGCAGGCCAGAGUUGCUAUGAAUUUAGAAUAUUAGGCUACUUUUAAACUCUCAGAAUCAUGGACUGCUCAUCGUAUCAACUUAUCGAGCUUUUGCAUAUAUUUAUAACACUUUCAACUUCCUGAGCGAUUAAAUUUGACUCUAUUAUAGCAAAGUCUUGUUGCAUUUGACUUCCAUCUAUAGUGUAUCUUGCGUUAUUAAUACGUUUGCUUUGACUCUUGAUUUGCAGAUUACUACAGCAACAACCACUUUCAUUGUUCUUGGUUUGCAGAUUAUAUUUAUAACUUUUGUCUUUCUUAUUGACUCUAUGUGAGCCAUGUAUAAUUGUUUCUCUAAGCUGCUGUUGGGAAAUAAAAAUGUCUUUCUUAUUGUUUCUUAUUGCAGCUGUUGUACCCAAAAAAAAAAAAAAAAGCAGCCCAGAACUUUAUUUACUGCUAGACAGCAUUUUGCCUGUCCAUAGAGGGGAUUGUGGUCCGGAGAUUCUUGAUAUUAUCUUGAACAAGGAUGAUCCUGAUGGUGAUUCAGACAUGAACAACCAAGCAGGCUUCUUCUGUGGCUCGCCGCCUGUGCGCACUAACAACCCAGUAGUCCAAGAUGCGAAGUUCGCUAAACAAACUCGAGAGUUGGCUUCUCAUUUAGGAAACUUGAUACAUAUUGUAGGUUGUGUACUUAGGAAUUUGCCUUGUAUGUUUUUAGAAUGUUUUUGAAGCACAAUGUAAUCAAAUAUGAUAAUAUGAAUGUAAUCAAAGUUCUUGUUUGUGACUCAUAUUUUGUUA
Phoenix dactylifera (date palm) is the source of this 1022-nucleotide non-coding RNA. The record is from RefSeq and is a predicted model, not a curated record. NCBI's taxonomy places the organism in Eukaryota, Viridiplantae, Streptophyta, Magnoliopsida, Arecales, Arecaceae.